AGUUAUAUAGUACAGUAGUUAGCGUAUAUACUCUUUAUAUACCUAACCUCUAGACCUAUCUAGAGGUUAGGCUAUAACUAGCGUAGGGUCGUAGGUUCGAUUCCUAUUGUAGCUA
Parachaetomium inaequale is the source of this 115-nucleotide non-coding RNA. The record is from the annotation of a GenBank genome assembly. Lineage: Eukaryota; Fungi; Ascomycota; Sordariomycetes; Sordariales; Chaetomiaceae.